RNAcentral lists this ribosomal RNA (479 nucleotides) under uncultured bacterium. RNAcentral describes it as "bacterial SSU rRNA". It matches the Rfam family "Bacterial small subunit ribosomal RNA", at positions 15 to 518 of the family's 1533-position model. The record is from RNAcentral.
GAUCCUGGCUUAGGAUUAACGCUGGCGGCAUGCCUAAUACAUGCAAGUCGAAUGGGGAGCUUGCUUCCCAUGGCGAACGGGUGAGUAAUACGUAGGUAACCUACCUUUAGGACGAGGAUAACCUUUGGAAACGAAGGAUAAUACUGGAUAGUAUAGAUUUCCGCAUGGAGAUAUAUUUAAAGAUUUAUCACCCAGAGAGGGGCCUGCGGUGCAUUAGCUAGUUGGCGGGAUAAAGCCCACCAAGGCGAUGAUGCAUAGCCGGACUGAGAGGUUGUACGGCCACAAUGGAACUGAGAACGGUCCAUACUCCUACGGGAGGCAGCAGUAGGGAAUUUUCGGCAAUGGGCGGAAGCCUGACCGAGCCAAUGCCGCGUGAAUGAUGAAGUAUUUCGGUAUGUAAAGUUCUUUUAUCUAGGAAGAAAAAACAAAUUGACGGUACUAGAUGAAUAAGCUCCGGCUAACUACGUGCCAGCAGCCGC